Molecule: long non-coding RNA, 467 nt
Organism: Erpetoichthys calabaricus (reedfish)
Lineage: Eukaryota; Metazoa; Chordata; Cladistia; Polypteriformes; Polypteridae
Exons: 3
Source: RefSeq, a predicted model, not a curated record
GAAGCAUCCACUUGCAGAGCCACAGCACCAUACGUCACCGCAGUUUCAGACCCGCAGUUGUAGACCCGCAGUUUUAGACCCGGAAGUGACGUUACCAUUUCUAGGCAAGCCGAAAACAACCAAUACUAUCCACUUGCAGAGCCACAGCACCAUACGUCACCGCAGUUUCAGACCCGCAGUUGUAGACCCGCAGUUUUAGACCCGGAAGUGACGUUACCAUUUCUAGGCAAGCCGAAAACAACACCUCCAUUUAUCGAACACAAGUCUUGGUUUUUAGCACGAGCGCAGCAUUUUCGAGCACAAACAAAAUAUGACAGAAAACAGCACGUAACAAGACAAAACGAAUAUCUUCAGGCACAUGGAUACUAAUUAAAAACAAGUGUGAUUUACCCUUGAUCAGGAGGUGCUGGUGCUUUAUUCUAUUGGAGAAUUUAGCUGUUGGAAGUUAUCUCUUUCUCUGUGGCUAA